AAGGAAAUAGCCUUUUUUCAUCAAGUGGAUCUAGAAAGCUGAGGCUGUCUCUGAUUCUGCUGUGGCUCCGUCCCUUGUGGAAGGACGGGGGGGCAGGACGAGGGGACAGAUCAGCAAGAUUCUUGGACAUGGUUUUUAUUCCCUGAAGAAUGUGCUUGGGUCAGUUCCAGCAUUCGCUCUGAAAUCAGAUGUGCAGUUAAGAGUUAAGGAAAACCUUCAAGGGAGCCAGGCCAAAAGAUGUGGGCACUGUUUUUGGCUCAAUCGGAGAACCUGUCCUCUUCAGCUAGAGAAGGCGGAGGCCCAGGGCAGAGGUCUGUGCGGGCGGUGUGCUGGGGUGUGGGGCUCCCGCUGAAACAGCAUGCUGUGUGCUGCCGCUAAUGUGUGCUGAGCUGGCAUUCUGGUUCCUUCACCAGGCUGCACGGGGCAGGAAUUUCGCAGCCCCACUCUCAUGUUGUCGAAAUAGCUAAACGUUUGCUUCCUACCUAUUCCUAUACUGAUUUCCGAACAACAUUUCCUUACAAUCACCUCAAGGGCCCAUGGAUUUUACAGGUAACAAGGCUACAAAUAGGUACUUUCCGAAAGACCCUGGCUGACUCACACGCAGACCCGCCAGUUGAGAACUGUACUUUUAUUAGUCCGGGUUUCUGUGGCCCAUCAUUAACGGAGGCGAUUGGUAUACUAACAGACCACUGAGGACACGUACAGAUUUGACCUAUCCUGGAAUCUCUGCAGAGUCCACAUGUAACUGAAAGACAUAAGCUGGAGGUCUUCCUCAAGCUACACGAACCUGGCACUCAGUCUCUUCCCUGCACCUGCACAAUGAAGGUGCCGGGGCCAUAUGAUCUCCCAGGUACCCCUUGCAGAUCCAACGCCCGCAAUCACAGAUUCGGGAAACCAGAGGCCAGGAUCACAGAGCCGUGCGGGCAGGCCCAGUGCAGCUCCUCCGAACAGGGUCUGAACUACACAUUCACAUGUCCUGCUCGGCCAGUGCCGAGGAUACCCACACCUGUCCUGACCUCACGCUGCCCAUCAGAUGGCACGCCACGCCCUGCUCUCGGACACCCCCCGCCCCGCAGCCGGGCCUAAGCCAGAGGUGUGCUCUUUCCAAGGCUGUCUUCUGCUUUUUCACUGCAGUGCAGAAGGCACCGCGGCUCUACACAAGCUUCGUUGUCCUUUUAUGGUAGAAAAAUGAAUUGCUUGCCCAGCAGUGGAGCUGAGAGAGAUGACAGAACGGAAAGUUGUCAUUUGUUGUGGUUCUGGCAGCAACAGAAGAGAGCGUUCUCCCCUCAGCCACCCUGGGAUGGACAGUGCACGCCAGGCAUUCAGCGAGGGAAAAGCAAACCCAGCCAAACUGCUCCCAGAGGCAUUCCUCCCUUGCCUGGCCUGUGAACGGAUGUGUUUAUUUAUGAAGAGUGUCAAGAUUUAUUUUGGGGGAAAUGCACUUUUUACAAAACAAGGUAUAAAAAGGCCGUUUUGUGUUCUGCUAGAAGCUCUUAACAAAGGUACCCCAGAAAACACGGUUCCAAUCAGAUUGCAUCCAAGGAACGGGCUUCAUUUCCUUGCAGGAUGAGGCU
Long non-coding RNA from Neofelis nebulosa (Clouded leopard), 1574 nucleotides. RefSeq lists it as uncharacterized. Lineage: Eukaryota; Metazoa; Chordata; Mammalia; Carnivora; Felidae. The record is from RefSeq and is a predicted model, not a curated record. The transcript has 3 exons.